CAGUAGCCGCGGGAAUACUGAGGAUGCAAGCGUUAUCCGGAAUGAUUGGGCGUAAAGCGUCUGUAGGUGGCUUUUCAAGUCCGCCGUCAAAUCCCAGGGCCCAACCCUGGACAGGCGGUGGAAACUACCAAGCUGGAGUACGGUAGGGGCGGAGGGAAUCUCCGGUGGAGCGGUGAAAUGCGUUGAGAUCGGAAAGAACACCAACGGCGAAAGCACUCUGCUGGGCCGACACUGACACUGAGAGGCGAAAGCUAGGGGAGCAAAUGGGAUUAGAUACCCCAGUAGUCCCUGUCUCUUAUAC
This 301-nucleotide ribosomal RNA is filed under the name uncultured bacterium. RNAcentral describes it as "partial 16S ribosomal RNA". It matches the Rfam family "Bacterial small subunit ribosomal RNA", at positions 509 to 807 of the family's 1533-position model. The record is from RNAcentral.